AAAGAAGGCCUAUCAGUAUCCUGAGUAGGGCGGGACACGUGAAAUCCCGUUUGAAUCCGCGAGGACCAUCUCGCAAGGCUAAAUACUAACCAGUGACCGAUAGUGAACCAGUACCGUGAGGGAAAGGUGAAAAGAACCCCGGGAGGGGAGUGAAAGAGAACCUGAAACCGUGUGCCUACAAGUAGUCAGAGCCCGUUAACGGGUAAUGGCGUGCCUUUUGUAGAAUGAACCGGCGAGUUGCGUUAGUCAGCAAGGUUAAGUCAGAAAAGACGGAGCCGUAGCGAAAGCGAGUCUGAAGAGGGCGA
Molecule: ribosomal RNA, 305 nt
Filed under: Lactobacillus delbrueckii subsp. bulgaricus
Lineage: Bacteria; Bacillati; Bacillota; Bacilli; Lactobacillales; Lactobacillaceae
Description: partial 23S ribosomal RNA
Rfam family: Bacterial large subunit ribosomal RNA
Source: RNAcentral